CAGUGGGACUCCUACGGGAGGCAGCAGUGGGCCCCACUCCCACGGGAGGCAGCAGUGGGACUCCUACGGGAGGCAGCAGUGGGACUCCUACGGGAGGCAGCAGUGGGACUCCUACGGGAGGCAGCAGUGGGGCAGUUGGCUCAGAACGAACGCUGGCGGCUGGCUCAGAACGAACGCUGGCGGCCCCACUCCUACGGAGGCAGCAGUG
This 208-nucleotide unclassified non-coding RNA is filed under the name uncultured bacterium. Its description in RNAcentral is "partial contains 16S ribosomal RNA and 16S-23S ribosomal RNA intergenic spacer region". The record is from RNAcentral.